GACGAACGCUGGCGGCGUGCUUAACACAUGCAAGUCGAACGGAAAGGCCCUGCUUUUGUGGGGUGCUAGAGUGGCGAACGGGUGAGUAACACGUGAGUAACCUGGCCUUGACUUUGGGAUAACUUCAGGAAACUGGGGCUAAUACCGGAUAGGAGCUCCUGCUGCAUGGUGGGGGUUGGAAAGUUUCGGCGGUGGGGGAUGGAUUCGCGGCUAAUCAGCUUGUUGGUGGGGUAGUGGCUUACCAAGGCUUUGACGGGUAGCCGGCAUGAGAGGGUGACCAGCCACAUGGGGACUGAGGUACGGACCAGACUCGUACGGUAGGCAGUGGUGGGGAGUAUUGCACAGUGGUCGGGAGCCUGAUGCAGCAGCGCCGCGUGCGGGAUGACGGCCUUCGGGUUGUAAACCGCUUUCGCCUGAGACGAAGCGUGAGUGACGGUAAUGGGUGAAGAAGCACCGGCUAACUACGUG
RNAcentral lists this ribosomal RNA (468 nucleotides) under uncultured bacterium. RNAcentral's name for it is "partial 16S ribosomal RNA". It matches the Rfam family "Bacterial small subunit ribosomal RNA", at positions 28 to 507 of the family's 1533-position model. The record is from RNAcentral.